ACGGCGGCCGUAACUAUAACGGUCCUAAGGUAGCGAAAUUCCUUGUCGGGUAAGUGCCGACCCGCACGAAAGGCGUAACGAUUUGGGCACUGUCUCAACAACAGACUCGGUGAAAUUGUAAUUCCGGUGAAGAUGCCGGAUACCUGCGACAGGACGGAAAGACCCCAUGGAGCUUUACUGUAGCUUGACAUUGGGUCUUGGUACUACAUGUACAGGAUAGGU
This 222-nucleotide ribosomal RNA is filed under the name Clostridioides difficile. Its description in RNAcentral is "partial 23S ribosomal RNA". It matches the Rfam family "Bacterial large subunit ribosomal RNA", at positions 1927 to 2148 of the family's 2925-position model. The record is from RNAcentral. Lineage: Bacteria; Bacillati; Bacillota; Clostridia; Peptostreptococcales; Peptostreptococcaceae.